UACGAAGGGGGCUAGCGUUGUUCGGAAUUACUGGGCGUAAAGCGCGUGUAGGCGGGUCUUUAAGUCAGGGGUGAAAUGCCAGGGCUCAACCUUGGAACUGCCUUUGAUACUGGAGACCUUGAGUCCGGGAGAGGUGAGUGGAAUUGCGAGUGUAGAGGUGAAAUUCGUAGAUAUUCGGAAGAACACCAGUGGCGAAGGCGACUUACUGGACACAUAUUGACGCUGAGGUGCGAAAGCGUGGGGAGCAAACAGG
This 253-nucleotide ribosomal RNA is filed under the name uncultured bacterium. RNAcentral describes it as "partial 16S ribosomal RNA". It matches the Rfam family "Bacterial small subunit ribosomal RNA", at positions 524 to 776 of the family's 1533-position model. The record is from RNAcentral.